GAUGAACGCUGGCGGCGUGCCUAAUACAUGCAAGUCGAGCGAACGGACGAGAAGCUUGCUUCUCUGAUGUUAGCGGCGGACGGGUGAGUAACACGUGGAUAACCUACCUAUAAGACUGGGAUAACUUCGGGAAACCGGAGCUAAUACCGGAUAAUAUUUUGAACCGCAUGGUUCAAAAGUGAAAGACGGUCUUGCUGUCACUUAUAGAUGGAUCCGCGCUGCAUUAGCUAGUUGGUAAGGUAACGGCUUACCAAGGCAACGAUGCAUAGCCGACCUGAGAGGGUGAUCGGCCCCACUGGAACUGAGACACGGUCCAGACUCCUACGGGAGGCAGCAGUAGGGCAUCUUGCGCAAUGGGCGAAAGCCUGACGGAGCAACGCCGCGUGAGUGAUGAAGGUCUUCGGAUCGUAAAACUCUGUUAUUAGGGAAGAACAUAUGUGUAAGUAACUGUGCACAUCGUGACGGUACCUAAUCAGAAAGCCACGGCUAACUACGUG
Molecule: ribosomal RNA, 497 nt
Filed under: uncultured bacterium
Lineage: Bacteria
Description: partial 16S ribosomal RNA
Rfam family: Bacterial small subunit ribosomal RNA
Source: RNAcentral